AGUGAACGCUGGCGGCAGGCCUAACACAUGCAAGUCGAACGGCAGCACGGCAGUAGCAAUACUGUGGGUGGCGAGUGGCGGACGGGUGAGGAAUACAUCGGGAUCUACCCUGUUGUGGGGGAUAACGUAGGGAAACUUACGCUAAUACCGCAUAAGAACUGAGGUUGAAAGCGGCGGACCGCAAGGCGUCGCGCGAUUGGAUGAACCGAUGUCCGAUUAGCUAGUUGGCGGGGUAAAGGCCCACCAAGGCGACGAUCGGUAGCUGGUCUGAGAGGACGACCAGCCACACUGGAACUGAGACACGGUCCAGACUCCUACGGGAGGCAGCAGUGGGGAAUAUUGGACAAUGGGCGCAAGCCUGAUCCAGCCAUGCCGCGUGGGGUGAAGAAGGCC
Molecule: ribosomal RNA, 393 nt
Filed under: uncultured bacterium
Lineage: Bacteria
Description: bacterial SSU rRNA
Rfam family: Bacterial small subunit ribosomal RNA
Source: RNAcentral